UUGCUUUUAGAACAAGGGAAAAAAACAUGAGGUGGCCAAAACACUACACAAACUCCAUUCUGAAAACGUAUUAUCCAGUUUACACCUGACGAGUGACGACGGCCUCCGAGGCUCUGAACGCAUUUGCCAGUUCCCCUGAUUUCGCUUCCCUUUCCCCCAAAAGGCCAAAACCCUCCUCCUGCCAACUAAAAAAAAAAAAAAAACUCCUCCUGCCCCCAGUGCGGCAGUGCCCCCCCCACCACCGGCGCCAAAUUCCGCUCCAAUCUCCCCGGCCGCGCGUUACCGAUCGCUUGCUCUUGUCCUGGUUCCUGCUCCAUCGUGGCUGCCAAUGGCGGAAUCAGCUGCCCCCUGUAGGCUAUCUCCAAUCUUAAAUUUGGGGUGUAUCAAGGGCUUCUAGCAAUGAUAUAAAGAUAACCAGGGUUGUUCACCUGCAUGAUUUAUGAUCUUUUGUACAGUUCUCCUUGGUUUUGCAAUAGAAAUGUUCAGGCUGGCAUUUGCCCGCUGAAGUCCGGUCACAUAAAUAAAUUUGUGCAUCUUGGUGGAGAUUUGAUACUGCAUAAGCUUGAUGAAGUCGAGAUCUCUCUGAAGAAAAUGCAAGCAACGCUAGAAAGGGAAGAAGCAUCGAAAAUGAAGAUCACACCCGGUUGACUUGCAUAUUUUUGGCAGAAUUAUUUAAUUAAUGCAAGAAAAGGAAAGCAAAGGUGCCCCAGUCACACUUCACUCUUGAUUUCUUCUAGGCAGCAUAAGAAAAUGAAGAUCGCGCCCAGUUGACUACUUGACUUACAUAUUUUCGGCAGGUAUCCCAUGAAAGAGUGUUGAACAAUUUGGCUAUUCUGUGUUAAUGUUCGGUUGUGUUUGGCCCUUAAUUAAUGCCUGUUCCACUUUGGUGUCCAUCAUCCACACUGCUGCUGAUUGCCUGUCUAGACUCUGUUGCAUGAAAUGUUUUGGGUUCUCUCAAACCAUUGGCCUGAUAAGCGAAACCAUCUGGGAGAGGUCCCUCUUAUAUAUGUAUGUUUGGUUAAGCAAGUAACUUCAAUCGACUUCCACAGUGUUCUGGUGCACUCUGUGCCUGUCUCAACAUGGUCAUCGUCGUUGGUUUCCUGUACGUCUUUUGUCACAACCCUAUUGUAGAACCAUUCAGAACAUGAGUCAUGAGGUUUCUACUUUCUAGUGCAAAAUCUGUAGGAAUCCAUAGUAACGAGCUCAAAACCUAUUGUUACUGAGAAUAGCUCGGCCAAACUUCAACUCCAGUAAGUAAAUCUUUCUGCUCACUAGAAAAUACUGGUGUCCCCUGAAGCUCUGACUUGGUAUCAGUGUGCUGGUUGGUGGUGGUUUUCUUUCUGGACCCAGAUGCUGUCAUGGACAAUAAUUAAUUUCUAGCAUUACAUGGAGUCUAAGCCAACCCGAGACUGGCAUUAAAUGAAAGUAUGGUCUUAUGGCAUUUUCGCAGAAUUAUGUAAUUAAUGCAAGAAAUGAAAAGCAAAGAUGCCCCCUCACACUUCACUCUUAUUUUUUCUAGGCAGCAAAAUACAUAUGAUGAGGCCCUUUUCAAUGAUGCUAUGACCGUUUCUUCUUCAAAAGGGUGUAACACCUUUUUGCUAUAUUUCUAAAGCCUCGGGAAGGUGGAAAAACAUUUCUUUAUACCAACAAAAGAUUAUCAGCAACCGGUAGGCAGCAUAGAGAGAAAGGUGCUUCUAGUCAAGGGCUGACUGCUUGACUUUUGUUACUUCUUCUCCAUCACUUGUUCACACCUCCCUGUAUUUCCAUGUUAUCUUUCUUUGAAGGACCAUUUUUUAAUAGUAGCACUGAACUGAUCCGUAAAAAAAGUAUUAUUAAUCUCCUGGCUGCAUCAGAUCAAAUCGUGCCAUGCAAAUAAUCUUCUGGGGUCCCUGGCUCUGCUGUAUGUGCGAAAAC
Brachypodium distachyon (stiff brome) is the source of this 1914-nucleotide long non-coding RNA. RefSeq lists it as uncharacterized. The record is from RefSeq and is a predicted model, not a curated record. The transcript is spliced from 7 exons. Lineage: Eukaryota; Viridiplantae; Streptophyta; Magnoliopsida; Poales; Poaceae.